AACGAACGCUGGCGGCAUGCCUAACACAUGCAAGUCGAACGGGAUCCGGACUUCGGUCCGGUGAGAGUGGCGGACGGGUGAGUAACACGUAGGAACCUGCCUUUUGGUUCGGGAUAACCGCGGGAAACUGCGGCUAAUACCGGAUGCUCCCGAGAGGGAAAAGAUUUAUCGCCAGAAGAGGGGCCCGCGUCCGAUUAGGUAGUUGGUGGGGUAAUGGCCUACCAAGCCGACGAUCGGUAGCUGGUCUGAGAGGAUGAUCAGCCACACUGGGACUGAGAUACGGCCCAGACUCCUACGGGAGGCAGCAGUGGGGGAAUAUUGGACAAUGGGGGCAACCCUGAUCCAGCAAUGCCGCGUGAGUGAUGAAGGCCUUAGGGUUGUAAAGCUCUUUUGCCAGGGAAGAUGAUGACUGUACCUGGAGAAUAAGCCCCGGCUAACUUCGUGCCAGCAGCCGCGGUAAU
Molecule: ribosomal RNA, 461 nt
Filed under: uncultured bacterium
Lineage: Bacteria
Description: bacterial SSU rRNA
Rfam family: Bacterial small subunit ribosomal RNA
Source: RNAcentral